Long non-coding RNA from Centropristis striata (black sea bass), 402 nucleotides. RefSeq lists it as uncharacterized. NCBI's taxonomy places the organism in Eukaryota, Metazoa, Chordata, Actinopteri, Perciformes, Serranidae. The record is from RefSeq and is a predicted model, not a curated record. The transcript has 3 exons.
UCUCCGUCUUACAGAAACAGCAGAACCACAGUCCAGCUCUGUGCAGACAAUAGCUGCUUCCUUCAGGGUCCAGUAACCAUCACCCACUGGUCUCCAUUCUCCAUGUUUCAGCUCCAGUGUUCCUGAACAGUGACUGUCUCCCCCCACCAACCUGACAGGCUCUGAACAGAAACAAGAGAGUCAUCAAUGGAGAGAAUUUCUGGAGUUGAAAGGACACAAACGGUCAAAUUGGUUCUUUCCCCUCCCAGACAGGAGAGCAAAUUCAGGAGCUGAAACUCCACAACGCCAGACAGCCACUGGAGCUGCUUGGUCAGCUGGAAGGCAGGAUGUGUGUGUCGGUGAGAAUAUUACACCUGCUUUUUCAGCAAUCUGAGUGGGGACUUUAAGCAUGACAGUUAUUUU